UGUAGUGGCGACAGCGGGUUUCCUCUCAAAAUCUGUGCAGUCUUUAACCAUGUCUGAUGCCAUAUAACCGUAAAUAAAAUGUGUUGAGUGUGUCGUUAAAUAAAACUUUUUAUUUUUUUCUCCCAGUCAUGGUUUUCAAACUGGUGAUUAAAGGUGUAUAAUUUACUAUUUGGAAACUUUCUACAGCCAAAUAUUUUUUCUUUUAAAACCUUUCUUUCAUUCCAUAAACUUUGUGUGUAUGUUGGUCAUUAUUUAAAUGAGUAUGGCGAUUAAAAAUGUACAGUGUGCUAUUUGGAAAACCUCUUGUCACACCCACUCCCAGUUUCUUUUUUUCAUUCCUAUGUAUGAUAAUAUUUUCAUAUAUUUACCAUUUAUGACACCCAAUAGCUAAUGUGUAUUUUUGUGCUGGGGUGUCGUUAAACAUUCAUUCAUUCAUUCCUAUUUGUGCAUUGAUUUUUAUUCAGUUUUAUCUCAAAGAUGUUGGGCUGAAUUUACAAAGUGUCUUACUCGUGUGUAAAUAUGUACAGCUAUAUGAACCCUGCUUGAAUACACUAAAAGCAAACAAGCUGUGUACGUUUGGCCCAUGGUGGGUAAAGAUUAUAACAUCCCUUCCCGUUCAGCACCACUAAAUAUUUCACUUUAUUACACCACAGUGAGAUUGGUGUAAUAUUUCACUUUAUUACACCACAGUGAGAGGUCAGUGUAAUAUUUCACUUUAUUACACCACAGUGAGAGAGGUCAGUGUAAUAUUUCACUUUAUUACACCACAGUGAGAGGUCAGUGUAAUAUUUCACUUUAUUACACCACAGUGAGAGGUCAGUGUAAUAUUUCACUUUAUUACACCACAGUGAGAGGUCAGUGUAAUAUUUCACUUUAUUACACCACAGUGAGAGAGGUCAGUGUAAUAUUUCACUUUAUUACACCACAGUGAGAGGUCAGUGUAAUAUUUCACUUUAUUACACCACAGUGAGAGGUCAGUGUAAUAUUUCACUUUAUUACACCACAGUGAGAGAGGUCAGUGUAAUAUUUCACUUUAUUACACCACAGUGAGAGAGGUCAGUGUAAUAUUUCACUUUAUUACACCACAGUGAGAGAGGUCAGUGUAAUAUUUCACUUUAUUACACCACAGUGAGAGAGGUCAGUGUAAUAUUUCACUUUAUUACACCACAGUGAGAGGUGUCAGUGUAAUAGCAUUUCCCUUCCAUCAGAUUUUGACAAAUGAUUCAAUAAAUGAUGUCAUGAUGACAAGUGAUCUUAGAGUUAUCUUUGUGAUUUCCCACGACUGUUUGGCCAAAAAACUAAAUGCAGUCAUGCACUUAUAAACAAUUGCCAAAUGUUUGACAUGCAAUAAAUCAAUGUGCUCUAGUGAUGUUGUUAAAUAAAAUAAACUUUUUGUCUUAAAAGGUAGAUUUUCCCUUAUUCAGUAAUGUACAGUGUUUUUGACAAUUUGCAACUUUGAUCCAUUUUAUUACUGUAUGAUGUGUCUUACAUUAAUAUUAAUUUCUGUAAUGUGUUUCCAUAAUCAUAUUUAUUUGUAUAAGAAUUAAAAUGUUUUCAACAUCACAUAAUAUGCAGUGUUUUAUCCAUCCAGAUGUUUAGAGAGAAAUCUUGUGAUUGGUACUGUAUAUAUUUGUUCCAAUACAAGAUUCAGGUUCAUUAGAUUCGAGGAGAUACAUGUAAGUCUGUAUUAUUGUUUAGUUUCCAUGAUUUUAGCCGUGUUUGUUACAUUUUUGCUUGUAGAGGAAUUGCGGCUUUAAGAAUUGUAUUGAAACUGAAAAUAUUCACUUAGAAGUGCAUACUUUGUAACUAGAGCUUGCUUUCCAUUAAAAUGAUUCCAUGUGCAGAUCCGCGCAUGAAAAUAUGCAUUUCCAUAUUAUGUAUCAGGCGUCUGAUUUUGACAAUUACCUUCUCAAUCAAACUGACAGCAAACAUUUGUAUAAUAUAAUGUUGCAUGCUAAAAGAUCACCCACUGAUCAACCCACCCCUCGCCCCCUAAUUUUGAAAACCUGCUUGUGGAGAGGGUACCGUGUAUAUGCGCUAUAUCUAUAAACGUGCAAGCAGAAUCACAUUAUUGGAAGCAAGGCUUUGUGGCAGCACUUAGCAACUGGUUUAUCAAAAAAUAUAUUUAUUAAUAAUUUUGUUUAUACAUGUAGUCUUGAAUAUGUUUAUAAUAUUGUUUGUGUAAAGUUCACUGACAUAAGUAAUAAUACUUUCAGCUAUUGGUUGACUUUUGACAGAUAAUUACCAUAUUUUGGAUAAUUACCAUAUUCAGUUUACUUGAAAGUAGAUAAUAUGAAGUAGACUUAACAAAUGUCCCAACAAAAUAUUUUCUGAAAUUACAGUAGAUACAUUUAAUUUUCCCCAAAAUGUUAUUCAACCAUCUAAUAUAUAGUUGUCAUAUCCCACUUGUUUAUACCCUGCAGCACAAUUUGGAGAUGGGGGGGGGGGGGGGGGGGGGUAUUAAAAUGGGAACCAUCCAGCAGUCGGUUUAAAUCUGUCUGUCCAGUCGUGUUUCUGGAGCACCAGUCCAAAACUGUUCAAGAUAACUCCUUGGAAUGUAAUUAAACUGUUCCAGAUAACUCCUUGCAAUGUUAUUAAACUGUUCCAGAUAACUCCUUGGAAUGUUAUUAAACUGUUCGAGAUAACUCCUUGGAAUGUUAUUAAACUGUUCGAGAUAACUCCUUGCAGUGUUAUUAAACUGUUCGAGAUAACUCCUUGGAAUGUUAUUAAACUGUUCGAGAUAACUCCUUGGAAUGUUAUUAAACUGUUCGAGAUAACUCCUUGCAAUGUUAUUAAACUGUUCAAGAUAACUCCUUGCAAUGUUAUUAAACAUGUCUUUUGCUAUGAAGGACUUCUUUAUUUCUGAUACUUUUUCUGUUAUCAUGAUAACAAAUAGCCAGAAUGACCAAAUUCACAGUUUCCACGGUACAACUCCAAAAGCAUUCAAGAUAACUUUGUUAAAGAUUGUUUUUAGUAGUAAAUACUUGUAGUGAGGGAGUUUUUCUUAUAUAAUUGAAUUUGAUGACUGGGUAUAUGUAUUACUUGUAUUUUUAUAAUUCAUUAAACUGAUUAUAGCUUAAAAUAGAUACAGUCUGUAAUCAUAGACAAUGGUUUGUUUCAUCUUGCUUAUUCAUGAAUUGAUAAAUGGAGUUUGUGUCCAUAGAAAUAAAUGUAUUUUAAUAUUA
Gigantopelta aegis is the source of this 3185-nucleotide long non-coding RNA. RefSeq lists it as uncharacterized. The transcript has 2 exons. NCBI's taxonomy places the organism in Eukaryota, Metazoa, Mollusca, Gastropoda, Neomphalida, Peltospiridae. The record is from RefSeq and is a predicted model, not a curated record.